Molecule: non-coding RNA, 212 nt
Organism: Salvelinus sp. IW2-2015
Lineage: Eukaryota; Metazoa; Chordata; Actinopteri; Salmoniformes; Salmonidae
Source: RefSeq, a predicted model, not a curated record
AGGGUGGUUAUGGAAUCAGUUAUUACACAAUUGGAACAAGGCAUGUGUAAUUACACAUUCAGUUGCUGAAGGUUAUUCCACAUGUGUAACUACUGAUGUUAUUCUUGUUCCACAAUGUAACUAAUGUUUUGUAAUUACACGUUUGAAAGUAAUCUGUGAAUUACCAUGUUAAUAAUUUAAAACAAAAUCUGACCUUGUUACAUAUAACUGCA